GUUUUUAUAGUUUAAAUUUAAAACAUUGGUCUUGUAAAUCAAAAAUAAGAUUAUUCUUUAUUAACU
This 66-nucleotide transfer RNA is filed under the name Ochlodes venata (large skipper). RNAcentral's name for it is "tRNA-Thr". Lineage: Eukaryota; Metazoa; Arthropoda; Insecta; Lepidoptera; Hesperiidae. The record is from RNAcentral.